GACGAACGCUGGCGGCGUGCUUAACACAUGCAAGUCGAACGGACAGGCCCUGCUUUUGUGGGGUGCUUGAGUGGCGAACGGGUGAGUAACACGUGAGUAACCUGCCCUUGACUUUGGGAUAACUUCACGAAACUGGGGCUAAUACCGGAUAGGAGCUCCUGCUGCAUGGUGGUGGUUGGAAAGUUUCGGCGGUUUGGGAUGGACUCGCGGCUUAUCAGCUUGUUGGUGGGGUAGUGGCUUACGAAGGCUUUGACGGGUAGCCGGCCUGAGAGGGGUGACGGCCACAUUGGGACUGAGAUACGGCCCAGAAGGCAACGGGAGGCAGCAGUGGGGAAUAUUGCACAAUGGGCGGGAGCCUGAUGCAGCAACGCCGCGUGCGGGAUGACGGCCUUCGGGUUGUAAACCGCUUUCGCCUGUGACGAAGCGUGAGUGACGGUAAUGAGUAAAGAAGCACCGGCUAACUACGUG
This 468-nucleotide ribosomal RNA is filed under the name uncultured bacterium. RNAcentral describes it as "partial 16S ribosomal RNA". It matches the Rfam family "Bacterial small subunit ribosomal RNA", at positions 28 to 507 of the family's 1533-position model. The record is from RNAcentral.